UUGGUUCCAAACUUGUUAAAAAAUCCCUUGAUUCAUCUGUCAGUUUAUAAAUUGUAUCAACUGUUAUUAUAAGGACUCCCCCUACAAUACUGGCAGGAAGCCUUGAGCUCCUGAGGCCACAAAGUGUCAAAUGUGAGAAGAUUCUACUUUUCUAACAGACUUUCUAAUUUCUAACGUCACAAGUAGGCGGAGCUUAGCGAACUUUUCCAAACAAAUCGAUUUUACAUCUCAAAACGCCAUAAGAAAUUAUUUAUAUAUUUAUUGUAUGUGCUUGCAUUGCUAAUAAGGAUAUUCGCGUACAUUUUUGACUUGGCGUCAGUUAGUUGUUACAUAUUUUGAAAAAAAUCUCCAUUGAUUUCAGAUGUAGAAUGGAUUCAAAACAUGUUUUAAAACUAUCCUCUAUAAACGAUUUACUCGACAAUGAUAAUAAAAUCAUGAAAAAGGCUGAAAAUGCCUUGGAAUCGAAUCAUGUGGAAAGUAUACAGUUUGAUGCUGACUUUCAUGCAAGCAUGAAAGGUAAAUUCCAUCAUGUUGAAAUCACACUGAAUAAAUCUGAAGAUAUCACAUAUGCAAAUUGUGCUUGUCCUAUAGAGGAAUAAAAUGUCAUCAUAUCGCCACAUUAGCUCUUUUUGGACACUACAAUAUAUCUGUGACGGACAAGGAAUCUGAUCCACUGUGGGCAGAAAACUUAUCGCUGCUAGAAUAUUUUUAUAUGGAACAGUACCUGCCAAAACUUACACACGAACUUAUAUCAGCUGAAACUUGACUCAGUAUAUAAAACUAUAACCAGAUAAUCAUGUUAAGGUAGAGUGUAUUAGAUAUAUGUAAUAAAUAUUCAGAAUGUACCUUCACCAAUAUUUCUGUAAUAGU
Leptinotarsa decemlineata (Colorado potato beetle) is the source of this 870-nucleotide long non-coding RNA. NCBI's taxonomy places the organism in Eukaryota, Metazoa, Arthropoda, Insecta, Coleoptera, Chrysomelidae. The record is from RefSeq and is a predicted model, not a curated record.